CCGCUGUUAUUUUCGUUUGUCUCUGGGUGGAAGUUUAUGGGAAACUUAGUAACACGAGGUUUGUCAGUCAAGAUAUUUCGUUGUACUCGGUCGAUUAUAACUCGUGCAGGUGGUUCUUCUUUAAGCUGCUCAUCAUUAUAAUCAUUGUUCACAUAGUAACCCACUCUAAUGAACUCUUGUCCAAGAUACGAGCAAGUAAGAAGCAGGACCGUCACUCCUAUUAUGUCCUCAUCCCCAAUCUUUGAAGGAUCAGGUGGGUUUGCCUGAAUACAACCAAAUAACAAUUCAAUUUUAUUAAUCAACCAUGUCUAAUUCAAUCACUUAUUUUUUAAGAAACAAACCAUGCCUGAAACACGAAGCGGUAGUUUCCAAUAUUCACCGGACCAACAAGAACACUCUCAAGAAGUUGAUCGUAAGUCUCGUCCUCAGCUG
RNAcentral lists this long non-coding RNA (432 nucleotides) under Zostera marina. RNAcentral's name for it is "long non-coding RNA (ZMAR_LNC003892)". Lineage: Eukaryota; Viridiplantae; Streptophyta; Magnoliopsida; Alismatales; Zosteraceae. The record is from RNAcentral.